UGGGGAAUUUUGGACAAUGGGGGAAACCCUGAUCCAGCCAUCCCGCGUGUGCGAUGAAGGCCUUCGGGUUGUAAAGCACUUUUGGCAGGAAAGAAACGUCAUGGGUUAAUACCCCGUGAAACUGACGGUACCUGCAGAAUAAGCACCGGCUAACUACGUGCCAGCAGCCGCGGUAAUACGUAGGGUGCAAGCGUUAAUCGGAAUUACUGGGCGUAAAGCGUGCGCAGGCGGUUCGGAAAGAAAGAGGUGAAAUCCCAGAGCUCAACUUUGGAACUGCAUUUUUAACUACCGGGCUAGAGUGUGUCAGAGGGAGGUGGAAUUCCGCGUGUAGCAGUGAAAUGCGUAGAUAUGCUGAGGAACACCGAUGGCGAAGGCAGCCUCCUGGGAUAUCACUGACGCUCAUGCACGAAAGCGUGGGGAGCAAACAGG
This 429-nucleotide ribosomal RNA is filed under the name Acidobacteriota bacterium. Its description in RNAcentral is "Acidobacteria bacterium partial 16S ribosomal RNA". It matches the Rfam family "Bacterial small subunit ribosomal RNA", at positions 355 to 776 of the family's 1533-position model. Lineage: Bacteria; Pseudomonadati; Acidobacteriota. The record is from RNAcentral.